UUUCACAUCUUCUUCAUGCUGCAGCUGGUCCUUUGCAACAGCUGGCCAUGGCGGGCAGUAAGACCCCUUGUGGGAAUCCAGGCAGCCGUGCGCGUCGUCAAUCACUGCAGAGCUUCAGUCCAGCCUCUGUCCAGCCCCUCGGGACGGGGUCCACCUGGCGUCUGCUGCUGACCCAUGAAGUCAGCGAGCUAGGCAGAGAGACAGAGGGACACACAGACAGCUCACCUGGACACUGACGCGGCCCCUCCCCAGGAGAAGCGAUGGAACCAGGGCGCGCGGUGGAGCUCUUACAGAAACACCCUGUGACUCAUGAGUGAACACAUAAUUAGCCUUGAAGCCUUGGGCUUUGUUGGUUGGUGAGUUGGGACUUUUUUGGUUUAAUACCAUCAUUCACAUUCCCUAAACACAAAGCUCCCUGGAAGGACACACCUUCUUAUUUCAACACCACAGAGUAAGACAUUUGGAAGGAGCCUGGAAGACCCACUUUCUACUGGACACUAAGGUCACACUGAACCACCUGGCCUGGCCUCACCUGCGUGCUGAGGCUUACGUAUCCUGUACUCAUCUUUUCAGACCCUCCUGUUUCAGAAGUUCCCAGGCAAGGCAAUCCACUAGCUAAUCCCACGUCUUCGCAUAGCCACAGUCAUUUCAUGGGACCCAGGGCCUGAGAGAUCCCGCGCUCUCCCGGUACAUCUGGGGAAACUGAGGCCCGGGGAGAGAUCCUCUUUUCAGAGGGCUUCUUAAUGGUGGCCUCCUCUGCAAUGAGAUGGUCCCCAAGUAACCUGAGGGCUCCCAGGGGAGAUGCCAGGCUUGGAGCUGUGCCUGCUCCCAGCAGCCAUGCUCGUCCUCAGUCAGCACAACGCUCUUGCUCUUGCUCUUUGGUGCUCGGUGCAUUGGGUCCAAAGUCACUGAAAGACUCAGCCUGAAGUUCAGGCUUCAGUGUGUCCAGACCUCCCUGUCUCACUGACCCCACCCCAGAGCAGCACGUACAAAUGGCCAGAGAGGCUUGUUUACCAGACCUGAACUCACAGAUCUGCCACUGGAGUGUUAAAUGAGUUAAUAUGUGGAAAACCCCUAGACUCGUUCUUGU
Molecule: long non-coding RNA, 1090 nt
Organism: Sciurus carolinensis (gray squirrel)
Lineage: Eukaryota; Metazoa; Chordata; Mammalia; Rodentia; Sciuridae
Exons: 3
Source: RefSeq, a predicted model, not a curated record